UUGAACGCUGGCGGCAGGCCUAACACAUGCAAGUCGAACGGUAACAGGAAGCAGCUUGCUGCUUCGCUGACGAGUGGCGGACGGGUGAGUAAUGUCUGGGAAGCUGCCUGAUGGAGGGGGAUAACUACUGGAAACGGUAGCUAAUACCGCAUAAUGUCGCAAGACCAAAGAGGGGUACCUUCGGGCCUCUUGCCAUCGGAUGUGCCCAGAUGGGAUUAGCUUGUUGGUGGGGUAACGGCUCACCAAGGCGACGAUCCCUAGCUGGUCUGAGAGGAUGACCAGCCACACUGGAACUGAGACACGGUCCAGACUCCUACGGGAGGCAGCAGUGGGGAAUAUUGCACAAUGGGCGCAAGCCUGAUGCAGCCAUGCCGCGUGUAUGAAGAAGGCCUUCGGGUUGUAAAGUACUUUCAGCGGGGAGGAAGGGAGUAAAGUUAAUACCUUUGCUCAUUGACGUUACCCGCAGAAGAAGCACCGGCUAACUCCGUG
This 489-nucleotide ribosomal RNA is filed under the name uncultured bacterium. RNAcentral describes it as "partial 16S ribosomal RNA". It matches the Rfam family "Bacterial small subunit ribosomal RNA", at positions 30 to 507 of the family's 1533-position model. The record is from RNAcentral.